UACGUAGGUGACCAGCGUUGUCCGGAUUUACUGGGCGUAAAGAGCGCGCAGGCGGUCGUUCAAGUCGAGUGUGAAAGCCCCCGGCUCAACUGGGGAGAGUCAUUCGAUACUGAUCGACUUGAAGGCAGGAGAGGGAAGUGGAAUUCCCGGUGUAGUGGUGAAAUGCGUAGAUAUCGGGAGGAACACCAGUGGCGAAGGCGACUUCCUGGCCUGUUCUUGACGCUGAGGCGCGAAAGCUAGGGGAGCAAACGGG
RNAcentral lists this ribosomal RNA (253 nucleotides) under uncultured bacterium. Its description in RNAcentral is "partial 16S ribosomal RNA". It matches the Rfam family "Bacterial small subunit ribosomal RNA", at positions 524 to 776 of the family's 1533-position model. The record is from RNAcentral.